CACUCCCCCAACAAAAGAAAGAAAGUGUGUUUUCUGUGAGGAAAAAUCACGCGUUUUGGGCAGGCUGUCCGACCUCUCGCUUCUUAAUGCAGCCUCAGAGCAGCCUCGGGUCCCACAGCAGCCCCUGAGGCAGGGCGGAGGGGCUCCGGGGGCCUCCGGCUUCCCCCUGUGCACUCUGAGCCCCUGCUCUAACGAAACUUAUCUAAACCAUCUAACAAUAAUGUAAAUGGGUUUAAUUGCCGCGUAUUUAAGCCAUGAAGCCGGACUGAAAAAUCUGUUAAACUUGGCCUGUUCCCAAGCCAUUGACACCAUCCAGCUUCCCCGCGCCAUGGGGGGGAAUAGGGGGAAGGGGGUGCCCAGAUACGUUUUGAUACAGGAGUUUUCAAUGUAUCAGGAUUUCUUGUUCCUGUAAGUAGGACCAGUGCCCUCAAGGCGUUUCUAUGUAAACUGCCAUCUGCAAAGGGCUGUUUCUUACCUGAUGCUACUUGAAGAAAACUGCCAUUAAAUCUUUCUGGAAGCAACAUCUGUCUCUCUGGCAUAAUGCAGUUGCCCUCCACAGCCUUCUGUAUGAGCAAGUUCCAGAAGUUCAAUAGGUGCAGUUGGAUGCGUGUUGUACUAGAGUGCAGGAGGGGGGAUCAUCUGUGCCAUAUCUUUCUGCUUUCCAAUACAAAAUGCCGCAGUCUUGACUCACACAGAAAAAAAGUAUUGGGAUAUAUGUGGACCAGAACCUGAAUAAAUAUUGACAAGCCAUCUCAAAAAGCUACACUAACUGUGAGUAACUAACUGUUCUCUUUAGUCAUUAUAUGCUAACUUUGGACAUAUACGUCUAUAAUGAUACCUGGUUUCAUAUGUCGUAGUUGUCGAAGUACGUUAUUACUAUGAGAAAGAUGUAGUAUUCCAAUAAAGCAACCUUGUGCUGUCAUAUCAAGGCAGUAUCUACAUAUUCAUUGCAGAUGGCAUAUUACAGAAAUAAUCUUUUUCAUAUUUAUUCUUUAUCAAAUAUUGAACUGUUGCUGUUCAAGCAAAGUUCAGAUCCAUACAUCUCAUGAAGUGAAGGAAACUGUUAGCUAGAACAUAGUUGCCCUUAACACAGUUUCACUUUAGCAGUUUUUCAUAUUGAUGGAUUUACUGUUUUGUGGUUAAAGAAUUUUUCAUGCUGGAAUAUUUCUAAACCCAUUUUCUGAUAGAGAUCAGAAAAAUGGAAGUUUCUUGUACAUCGCUACUUUGGACAGCUCUGUAUGGAGAAAAAUAAAGGUAGUAGGUAUAAAUUAAAAGGGGGUGAAAUAAUCUGAGCUGCAAAAAGAAGAGAGCAAGUUUAUUUUAUUUCCUUGGUUAUGUAGGAGUCUUGUUAACCAGUAUGUAAUGCAUAGUCGUGUAAUAAAACAUGCUAGACAUUAAAAGGCAAAAACCCAGUUCACAGAUGUUGUAACGUUAUGAGAUAAUUUUAGGGAGUGAAUGGGGUGAAAAGGCUGGAUUUGUUAGAGAGGAAAAUACCUAUGGAGGCCUUUUCUGUGAGCAAUACCAUGACUUCAUUACCAUGUCAAUUCUGGGAAAAGGCUCUGAUUUAACACAGCAGUUGGCUGGAUCCAUAUGGAGCUGAUGAACCUCUGAAUGAAUAGUGAAUGGAAAAACUGCUGGAAUCUGCCUUCAGCUUUGUUCCCAGGAUGACCAAUGUAAAAGGCCUAAGAGCAAUACUGCACAGAUGGUGUAAAAGAGGUAAGAAAUCUGCAGGGUUUAGUUUACUUUUUCUUAUCCUGCACUGUUUGGGUUUUAUUUUUUUAACUAUAUUUGAGUUCCUCCAACUCCAUUUGCUUCAAAGCCUUUACUCACAAAAAAAUGUAAAAAAAAAAGGGAAGCUUUGGGAAAUGAAAUUAAUUCAAAAAACAUAUGUAGCAGUAAGCAUUUACAUAAAAAUACAAUUUAAAAUGUUGAAUUUUGUACGGUAUAGAAGUAAUUGAAAGCAUAAUUAUGAAAUCCUGAAAAAAAAAAAAAGCUAGUUAAAAGUUUAACAAAGAACUUUGGAAUUGCUUCUUCAAUUCACCCUAUGUUGUGGGAAUAUGCAGAUGUUCACAUUUACACAGUCAUGUAUGUCCACUAGGGUUACAUGCUUUUAUAGUCUGAAGCAUCAUCACAAGUGCCAAUACAGUAAAUCAAAAGACUCUCUGGCAUUAUCUAGUUUCCUUUCUGGCUUUAAAAGUUAGAACAGAUGUCACAAGAGAGGACAAAAUGGAUUUUACCCACCGAGAGGAGCUUUUCUUGCCAUCAUUAAUAGGAGGCUCCUUGAAAUGCUAAUGUACACAGUUUGUGUUGCCGGGUUUGCAUAGAGAUGGUGGGAAACAGCUCUGAUCCCAACAAAACCUUUUGUUAUUAAUCAAGAAAAUCUGCUCUUCUGAAACAGCAAAGCACUGAAAUGGUGUGGCUACUUGCAAUGCAGAGAUCUCUAUAGCAAUCUCCAAUGAACAAAAAUGUAAUAAAAACUGUUCAGCAGUUCUACGAGAUACGGCACAUGUAGCAAUUUAUUUGCAGUGAUUUUGCAUACACCUCCUUUGUCAUUUCAGCAUGGGUAUUUACAGUGGAAAGACUACACCGUUUCUCUAUUUUUUCUGAAUCUCCACUCUUUAAAUUCAUGUUUCAUUUCAUAGCAAAUCUAAAAAGCAAGCUUGAAGCAGAAAGAACUUUGAAAAGCAAGCUUCUCUUCUUGAAAACAAUUAUCACGGAGCAUGAGUUUCUGUUUGAUUUGAUGUUAAUACCAUGUAAGAUAUUUUUGCUUCGUUAGAGUAUAGGAUUAUGAGAUCUUGUGAGCCCUUUGUGAGUACAAACAUACUCUGCAAUAUUAGACCUGGUAUGCUCCUCCUGUUGUAAAGGGGACUUAAUUUUCAGUAGUCUUUAAUAGAAGAGGUUCAGACCCUGAUGUUGUUUUGAGACAUAUGACCUUUAUUUUUAAGAAAUACCAGUGCAAUUAAAUCACAAAGUACUAACUGCUGUCAGGCAUUCAUUGCCUUGUAUAGGAUGCCUCAGCAGAAGCCUUCUUUCCGAAAAGUUAUCUGGAGUAUCAAUUAAAGCCAAAAAUUCAAGGAAAGCCUGAAUUAAAAUGUAAAUUCUUUGCUUGCUAUUACUCAUCACUGAAAUCUCUGGCCCAGCCUCUGAUCAGAGUUACAUUAAAUUCCCUAUCAAUUUAUUGUACAGCAGUUCCACAACACAUUAAUGUGUCUUUUCACAGAUUCAUUGUGCUGAGACUUCAAUAUAUGGGCACAAGAGAAUGAAUUAGGGAUGAAGCAUUAGCUCAGAGUUUAAGCCUCUUUUAAUUUCCUUGCCUCUAUGGAUGUAAAGCAGAUACUUAACAGUUUGCAUUGCCAUAGAUUAUUGCACUUUAAUUUGUAUUUUGUUUCUUUUUAAUGAUGA
Neopsephotus bourkii (Bourke's parrot) is the source of this 3402-nucleotide long non-coding RNA. RefSeq lists it as uncharacterized. The record is from RefSeq and is a predicted model, not a curated record. The transcript has 3 exons. NCBI's taxonomy places the organism in Eukaryota, Metazoa, Chordata, Aves, Psittaciformes, Psittacidae.